UGGAUGAAGUCUCAAGAGAUUAGUGG
RNAcentral lists this small RNA (26 nucleotides) under Bombyx mori (domestic silkworm). Its description in RNAcentral is "ovarian small RNA-34658". Lineage: Eukaryota; Metazoa; Arthropoda; Insecta; Lepidoptera; Bombycidae. The record is from RNAcentral.